CGUUCACCCUCACGGGUUCCAGGCAGGAUUUGUCCCUCGGGGGAGCCAUUACGGCCCGCCCUAGCCCGAGUGGAUUUGUCCCAAUUCCUUCCUCUGGGAAUUAGGUCGCCUCCCCCACUGCUCGAACCCUUGACCUCCCACUUUAAGGGAAUAGUCUGGUGAGAGUGAGUACCAAUUGUUCCAAUUUUAUGUAACAGCCCGGCCCCGUACGACCGGCCCUGUUACCGCUCACAGCCCGUGACCUUCCUCUGGGCCCAGCCACUGUGUGCAGCUCUUAACAUCCCUUCACCCUCACGGGUUCCAGGCAGGAUUUGUCCCUCGGGGGAGCCAUUACGGCCCGCCCUAGCCCGAGUGGAUUUGGCCCAAUUCCUUCCUCUGGGAAUUAGGUCGCCUCCCCCACUGCUCGAACCCUUGACCUCCCACUUUAAGGGAAUAGUCUGGUGAGAGUGAGUACCAAUUGUUCCAACUUUUUAUGUAACAGCCCGGACGUGAUCCCCGGCACUGUUACCGCUCACAGCCCGUGACCUUCCUCUGGGCCCAGCCACUGUGAGCAGCUCUUAACAUCCCUUCACCCUCACGGGUUCCAGGCAGGAUUUGUCCCUCGGGGGAGCCAUUACGGCCCGCCCUAGCCCGAGUGGAUUUGGCCCAAUU
RNAcentral lists this long non-coding RNA (651 nucleotides) under Manihot esculenta (cassava). Its description in RNAcentral is "long non-coding RNA (MESC_LNC005657)". The record is from RNAcentral. Lineage: Eukaryota; Viridiplantae; Streptophyta; Magnoliopsida; Malpighiales; Euphorbiaceae.